This is a long non-coding RNA of Mus musculus (house mouse), 1427 nucleotides long. RefSeq annotates it as RIKEN cDNA A730035I17 gene. The record is from RefSeq and is marked validated. The transcript is spliced from 3 exons. Lineage: Eukaryota; Metazoa; Chordata; Mammalia; Rodentia; Muridae.
AGCUGCGACACCGAGGUGAAGGCGCUGCCGCGCGCGGGGCUCCCGCCCUCCAGCCGUCCGGGCAGAGAGCCUCCGGGACGCGGAGCCAGCAACUUCUCGGGGGCCCCAGGCGACCCCGCCGCGGGGGUGGACGAGCCGUUGCUGCCGCCGCCGGCGACACCGCCUCCCGCGUCGGGGUCCUCGGCCGUGCCCCCUGCGCCGUCUGUCGCCGCCGCCUCCUCCUGCAAGCCCACCGCGCGGCCCGCCUUCUUCACCUCCACGAAGGCGCUGCGCUUCGCCUCGCCAGUCUCCGGGCUGGGCGGCGCGAAGAGCCGGCCGUUCUCCUCCAGGCCGAAGUAGCUGCCGGCGGCGCGGUACUGCUGCGGCGUGCACACCAACUCCUCCUUGGAGGUCGCCAGCGGCCUCUCGGAGAAGCGCGCACGGCCGCCCGCCAGCCCCGCGCCGCCGCCCUCCGCCGCCGCCUCCUCUGGGAACCGCCUCUUGCCUUUGCAGCCGCCGGUGGCGACGCCGUCGGGACUCAGCUCCGCCUCCUGGUGGCCGCUGCCGCCACUGCCGACGCCCGGGGCCGCUACGCAACUGCUGCUUCCCCGGGAGUUUUCCAGUUCCCGAGCCAAGUUGUGGAAGUCCGUGGACGGCUUGGCGCUGCCGGCACCCGCGGAGCCCGGCGGGUUGCUCGCCUCCGGGGAUGACGCGGGGUAGUGGUGUAUGGGGCCGGCUUUGCAGAACUUGGGGCCCGGGAUCAACGGCGCCUCCUGUUGCUGCUGCUGUUGCUGCUGCUGUUGCUCUUUACCACCGCCGCCGCCGCCGUGGUCCUUAGUGCCCAAGCCGCCCCCUUGCUCGUCUUGGGGAUUCGCAUCAGUGCUGUGAAGUCUCUUGGGGCAGCGGAAUCGCAGAUGUGCCACAUAGGGGAACUCAAACUGGAAACGUUGGCUGCAUUCCAGUUCCAUUCGGGACAACACCUCAGAAGCUUCGUCCACCCUAUGAUGUGCAAGGAAAUUACCCUCAGACACCUCCAUCACACUUGCUGAGACUCACCCGGAAGAUGUAAGGUACUGUUCUCUUGUCCGUGGACUUGAGGGCUACGAAGGCUAUGCUGUCAUACAGGGAAGUAUGGCUCAGUACACAGGGACCGAAUAUGGCGUUCUCUGGGAUGUCGCAGGUUGUAUAUACACUGGUAAAAAUGUCUGUCAGACACUGUUGGACAGCCUUGGCAUCUCCAUCCCAGAUGCCUCUCUGGAUGCCUGAAUCCUCCAUCACUGGAGACAGAUACCCAGGACGAGAAGAGAGUUGUUAUUGCCUUUUCUGCUACGAACCUCGGCAGAGCGUUUCCGCUACCAGACAUAUUUUCUUUGCACUUGCCGGCUUUUUUACAUAGCUCCUACUUUAAAAAUAAAGCCGAUCAAUCUGUCAUGCUUUAAAGAUGCCAA